This 497-nucleotide ribosomal RNA is filed under the name uncultured bacterium. Its description in RNAcentral is "partial 16S ribosomal RNA". It matches the Rfam family "Bacterial small subunit ribosomal RNA", at positions 28 to 507 of the family's 1533-position model. The record is from RNAcentral.
GAUGAACGCUGGCGGCGUGCCUAAUACAUGCAAGUCGAGCGAACGGACGAGAAGCUUGCUUCUCUGAUGUUAGCGGCGGAUGGGUGAGUAACACGUGGAUAACCUACUUAUAAGACUGGGAUAACUUUGGGAAACCGGAGCUAAUACCGGAUAAUAUUUUGAACCGCAUGGUUCAAAAGUGAAAGACGGUCUUGCUGUCACUUGUAGAUGGAUCCGCGCUGCAUUAGCUAGUUGGUAAGGUAACGGCCUACCAAGGCAACGAUGCGUCGCCGACCUGAGAGGGUGAUCGGCCACACUGGAACUGAGACACGGUCCAGGCUCCUACGGGAGGCAGCAGUAGGGAAUCUUCCGCAGUGGGCGGAAGCCUGACGGAGCGACGCCGCGUGAGUGAUGAAGGUCUUCGGAUCGUAAAGCUCUGUUAUUAGGGAAGAACAUAUGUGUAAGUAACUGUGCACAUCUUGACGGUACCUAAUCAGAAAGCCACGGCUAACUACGUG